GAUUGUUUGAAUUAAUCAGUUAAACGAUAAAAAGAAAAACAAGAAGAGGAAGUAAAAAUGAAUUUAAUACUUCUUACCGGCCGUGAGAAGUUUGUUUCUGUUUCGAAAUUUUAUUAUAAUCAACCAAUCUGCGCAUUGUGUAAAGUUAUACAUAACCUGUUUGUGACGUCACGACCGUCCGGCGUUGUCUUCAUUCAGAAGCAGAGUAAGCGAGUGCGGAAGGUGUUCUUUGAAAAUUGAUGAUGUGCUUUUGGAGAAAUAUCAUAUUUCUUCUUCUAUUGAAAAUUGCUCUAAGCCAAGAUUACGAGGAAGACCAACAAGAUGAGGGCGAUAAUUAUCAUAAAUUAUUAUCUUUAAACUUUGUUCACGACAUAGAAAACUACGAAAAACAAGAAAAUCUGUCGGAAAUACCCGAUCAGAGAAUUUUGAGAGAAGAAACGACAGAAGGUGACUUAAAUUUUAAAUACUUAUUUAUAAUAGAAUUUGUUUGAUAUUUUUAACUGACAUAUUUAUCUUUUUCUUGACAUAGUUAAUCGCUAUGUACUAUAAUGC
Molecule: long non-coding RNA, 552 nt
Filed under: Androctonus crassicauda
Lineage: Eukaryota; Metazoa; Arthropoda; Arachnida; Scorpiones; Buthidae
Source: RNAcentral